Molecule: ribosomal RNA, 580 nt
Filed under: uncultured bacterium
Lineage: Bacteria
Description: bacterial SSU rRNA
Rfam family: Bacterial small subunit ribosomal RNA
Source: RNAcentral
CCUACGGGAGGCAGCAGUAGGGGAAUAUUGGUCAAUGGACGCAAGUCUGAACCAGCCAUGCCGCGUGAAGGAUUAAGGUCCUCUGGAUUGUAAACUUCUUUUAUCUGGGACGAAAAAAGGCGAUUCUUCGUCACUUGACGGUACCAGAUGAAUAAGCACCGGCUAACUCCGUGCCAGCAGCCGCGGUAAUACGGAGGGUGCAAGCGUUAUCCGGAUUCACUGGGUUUAAAGGGUGCGUAGGCGGGCAGGUAAGUCAGUGGUGAAAUCCUAGAGCUUAACUCUAGAACUGCCAUUGAUACUAUCUGUCUUGAAUAUUGUGGAGGUAGGCGGAAUAUGUCAUGUAGCGGUGAAAUGCUUAGAUAUGACAUAGAACACCUAUUGCGAAGGCAGCUUACUACGCAUAUAUUGACGCUGAGGCACGAAAGCGUGGGGAUCAAACAGGAUUAGAUACCCUGGUAGUCCACGCCCUAAACCGAUGAUUACUCGACAUUUGUGAUACACUAUAAGUGUCUGAGCGAAAGCAUUAAGUAAUCCACCUGGGAAGUACGACCGCAAGGUUGAAACUCAAAUGAAUUGACGG